AAAGCCAGAGGAAACUCUGG
This 20-nucleotide small nuclear RNA is filed under the name Arabidopsis thaliana (thale cress). RNAcentral's name for it is "snRNA_05055". Lineage: Eukaryota; Viridiplantae; Streptophyta; Magnoliopsida; Brassicales; Brassicaceae. The record is from RNAcentral.